CGCGCACACACCGCCCGUCACUCUCCCCGAGCCGCUCAAAUCUACCAGUAAAUAAAAACUAUUCAGGUAAAGGGGAGGCAAGUCGUAACAUGGUAAGUGU
RNAcentral lists this ribosomal RNA (100 nucleotides) under Pseudomugil signifer (Pacific blue-eye). Its description in RNAcentral is "partial 12S ribosomal RNA". Lineage: Eukaryota; Metazoa; Chordata; Actinopteri; Atheriniformes; Pseudomugilidae. The record is from RNAcentral.